RNAcentral lists this ribosomal RNA (1356 nucleotides) under Triticum aestivum (bread wheat). Its description in RNAcentral is "partial small subunit ribosomal RNA". The record is from RNAcentral. Lineage: Eukaryota; Viridiplantae; Streptophyta; Magnoliopsida; Poales; Poaceae.
AUGGCCCGCCCGCCCGCCGCCGCGAACCUCAAGCGCAAGCGGAAGCGCCGCCGCCGCCCCAAGGCCGGCAAGGGCGCGGCCGCCGACUUGCCCGACUUCUUCUCCAACCUCCCCGACGACGUCGUGCUCGCCAUCGCCAACCGCCUCCCGACCCGCCUCGCCGUCACGCUCUCCGUCCUCGCCCGCCGCUACCGCCACCUCCCCUCCCUCUACUCCCACCUCGACUCCGUCAGGUUCUCCGGGCCCGCCUCCCCGGUCCCUCUGCCCGCCAGCCAGCCCAAGCUCCUCCGCCGCCUCGACAUCGCCCCGCCCAAACCUAUCAAGCCCUCCGCCCUCCGCCACGUCAUCAACGCCGCCGCCAACCACGGCCUCUCCGAGCUCGCCGUCCGCCUGCACCGCCGCGUCUGCCUGCCCAAGAAUGUCUUCGCCAUCCGCUCUCUCGCCGUGUUAUCCCUCAACACCUGCAGCGUGCCGCCCCUCUCCGCCGUCACUUGCGCCCGCCUCCGGACGCUCAAGCUACACCGCGUCUACAUCAAACAGGUGGUCCUCACCGCCAUCCUCUCCGCGGCGACCGGGCUCCAGACGCUGGAGAUGGUACACUGCACGGGCUUGGACGCCGGAUGCACGGUGGAGUCGUUGACCGUGAGGAGCUUCUUGUUUAUGCCCAACGUGGAGCAACGGGAGGUCACGCUGAGAGCGCCGGGGCUGAGGACAAUCACGCUUCACACGCGACCCAAGACGCAGAAGGUGCACCUGGAGCCUUCGCCGGAUGUCAGCAAGGUAUACCUGCACGUCGCCAAGUCCCAGGAAAAGGUUCUCUUCAGGAUGCGGCCGUUCUUGGAUGCUGCCACAGGGCUAGCUUCCCUUACGCUCAGAGGCUGUGCUGUGAAGUUGUUAGCUGGUGAAUAUAAAGAUAUUGUGAAGUUGCCAAUUACAUUUGAAGGGUUGAGGAUAUUGUCAGUGAGCUUGAAUUUCUCGCGUGAAUCAGAAGCUGUUUUCCUGGUGAAGCUGCUUCAGAGCUGUCCUAGCCUACAGCAGUUGACCGUCUCGGCUGCUGAAAAUAAGAUGACAGAGGCGUCCUUUAGUUUUGCUGAUCACAAGAAGAUGCUUGCAAAGGCAUCAUGCCUAACUAAUAGCCUGUUGAAGAUUAAGUUUCUUGGGUUCAAGUCUGGAGAAUAUGAGAAGGACCUCCUUGUUUUCCUAUUAAAUCGAACCAAUAAGCUGAAGAAGAUUGGGGUGCAGUUUCCAGCAAGCGAAGAAACCGCUGUGAAGUGGGCUUUAUCUGUGAGGCCAGCCCCAAUCGAGAGAAGAUCUACUAUGUUCAACAAGGGCUACCUGCAGUUGGAGUAUACCUGA